RNAcentral lists this ribosomal RNA (336 nucleotides) under uncultured Acidobacteriota bacterium. RNAcentral's name for it is "bacterial SSU rRNA". It matches the Rfam family "Bacterial small subunit ribosomal RNA", at positions 99 to 433 of the family's 1533-position model. The record is from RNAcentral. Lineage: Bacteria; Pseudomonadati; Acidobacteriota.
CGCACGGGUGAGUAACACGUGGGUAAUCUGCUCUGGAGUGGGGAAUAACACCGGGAAACCGGUGCUAAUACCGCAUACGAUCACAGAGUCUGCGGAUUUUGUGACUCUAGGAGCAAUUCGCUCUUGGAGGAGCCCGCGGCUGAUUAGCUAGUUGGUGAGGUAACGGCUCACCAAGGCAACGAUCAGUAUCCGGUCUGAGAGGACGGCCGGACACACUGGAACUGAGACACGGUCCAGACUCCUACGGGAGGCAGCAGUGGGGAAUUUUUGGCAAUGGGGGCAACCCUGACCAAGCAACGCCGCGUGGGUGAUGAAGUCUCUUGGGACGUAAAACCC